This 71-nucleotide transfer RNA is filed under the name Clytia hemisphaerica. RNAcentral's name for it is "tRNA-Ser for anticodon GCU". It matches the Rfam family "tRNA". From Rfam's summary of the family: Transfer RNA (tRNA) molecules are approximately 80 nucleotides in length. Lineage: Eukaryota; Metazoa; Cnidaria; Hydrozoa; Leptothecata; Clytiidae. The record is from Rfam by way of RNAcentral.
GCAUUGGUGGUUCAGUGGUAGAAUUCUCGCCUGCUAAGCGGGAGAUAGGGGUUCAAUUCCCUGUCAAUGCA